RNAcentral lists this transfer RNA (71 nucleotides) under Bacteroidota bacterium. Its description in RNAcentral is "Bacteroidetes bacterium (activated sludge metagenome) tRNA-Gln". It matches the Rfam family "tRNA". From Rfam's summary of the family: Transfer RNA (tRNA) molecules are approximately 80 nucleotides in length. Their secondary structure includes four short double-helical elements and three loops (D, anti-codon, and T loops). The record is from RNAcentral. RNAcentral also lists the same sequence under 1 other name. Lineage: Bacteria; Pseudomonadati; Bacteroidota.
UGUCCGAUGGUGUAAUGGCAACACUGCAGAUUUUGAUUCUGCCUUUCCAGGUUCGAAUCCUGGUCGGACAA